Molecule: ribosomal RNA, 831 nt
Filed under: Erysiphe friesii var. dahurica
Lineage: Eukaryota; Fungi; Ascomycota; Leotiomycetes; Helotiales; Erysiphaceae
Description: eukaryotic LSU rRNA
Rfam family: Eukaryotic large subunit ribosomal RNA
Source: RNAcentral
AGUAACGGCGAGUGAAGCGGUAACAGCUCAAAUUUGAAAUCUGGCUCCNUCGGAGUCCGARUUGUAAUUUGUAGAAGAUGCUUUGGGUUGUGGGUUCGGCCUAAGUUCCUUGGAACAGGACGUCAUAGAGGGUGAGAAUCCCGUAUGUGGCCGAGGCCUACGCCUAUGUAAAGCUCUUUCGACGAGUCGAGUUGUUUGGGAAUGCAGCUCAAAAUGGGUGGUAAAUUUCAUCUAAAGCUAAAUAUGGGCCAGAGACCGAUAGCGNACAAGUAGAGUGAUCGAAAGAUGAAAAGCACUUUGGAAAGAGAGUUAAACAGUACGUGAAAUUGUUGAAAGGGAAGCGCUUGCACCCAGACUUGGGCGCUGCUGAUCACCUUGAGUUCUUCUCAAGUGCACUCGACAGCGCACAGGCCAGCAUCGGUUCGGGUGGCUGGAUAAAGGCCGUAGGAACGUAGCUCCCUUCGGGGAGUGUUAUAGCCUACGGUGCCAUGCAGCCCAGCCGGACCGAGGACCGCGCCUUCGGGCUAGGAUGCUGGCGUAAUGGGUGUAAGCGACCCGUCUUGAAACACGGACCAAGGAGUCUAACAUCUAUGCGAGUGUUUGGGUGGUAAACCCAUACGCGGAAUGAAAGUGAACGUAGGUGAGAACCCCUUUGGGGCGCAUCAUCGACCGAUCCUGAUGUCUUCGGAUGGAUUUGAGUAAGAGCAUAGCUGUUGGGACCCGAAAGAUGGUGAACUAUGCCUGAAUAGGGUGAAGCCAGAGGAAACUCUGGUGGAGGCUCGCAGCGGUUCUGACGUGCAAAUCGAUCGUCAAAUUUGGGUAUAGGGGCGA